GGUUAAGCGACUAAGCGUACACGGUGGAUGCCCCGGCAGUCAGAGGCGAUGAAGGACGUGCUAAUCUGCGAUAAGCGUCGGUAAGGUGAUAUGAACCGUUAUAACCGGCGAUUUCCGAAUGGGGAAACCCAGUGUGUUUCGACACACUAUCAUUAACUGAAUCCAUAGGUUAAUGAGGCGAACCGGGGAACUGAAACAUCUAAGUACCCCGAGGAAAAGAAAUCAACCGAGAUUCCCCAGUAGCGGCGAGCGAACGGGGAGCAGCCCAGAGCCUGAAUCAGUGUGUGUGUUAGUGGAAGCGUCUGGAAAGGCGCGCGAUACAGGGUGACAGCCCCGUACACAAAAAUGCACAUGCUGUGAGCUCGAUGAGUAGGGCGGGACACGUGGUAUCCUGUCUGAAUAUGGGGGACCAUCCUCCAAGGCUAAAUACUCCUGACUGACCGAUAGUGAACCAGUACCGUGAGGGAAAGGCGAAAAGAACCCCGGCGAGGGGAGUGAAAAAGAACCUGAAACCGUGUACGUACAAGCAGUGGGAGCACGCUUAGGCGUGUGACUGCGUACCUUUUGUAUAAUGGGUCAGCGACUUAUAUUCUGUAGCAAGGUUAACCGAAUAGGGGAGCCGAAGGGAAACCGAGUCUUAACUGGGCGUUAAGUUGCAGGGUAUAGACCCGAAACCCGGUGAUCUAGCCAUGGGCAGGUUGAAGGUUGGGUAACACUAACUGGAGGACCGAACCGACUAAUGUUGAAAAAUUAGCGGAUGACUUGUGGCUGGGGGUGAAAGGCCAAUCAAACCGGGAGAUAGCUGGUUCUCCCCGAAAGCUAUUUAGGUAGCGCCUCGUGAAUUCAUCUCCGGGGUAGAGCACUGUUUCGGCAAGGGGGUCAUCCCGACUUACCAACCCGAUGCAAACUGCGAAUACCGGAGAAUGUUAUCACGGGAGACACACGGCGGGUGCUAACGUCCGUCGUGAAGAGGGAAACAACCCAGACCGCCAGCUAAGGUCCCAAAGUCAUGGUUAAGUGGGAAACGAUGUGGGAAGGCCCAGACAGCCGGGAUGUUGGCUUAGAAGCAGCCAUCAUUUAAAGAAAGCGUAAUAGCUCACUGGUCGAGUCGGCCUGCGCGGAAGAUGUAACGGGGCUAAACCAUGCACCGAAGCUGCGGCAGCGACGCUUAUGCGUUGUUGGGUAGGGGAGCGUUCUGUAAGCCUGCGAAGGUGUGCUGUGAGGCAUGCUGGAGGUAUCAGAAGUGCGAAUGCUGACAUAAGUAACGAUAAAGCGGGUGAAAAGCCCGCUCGCCGGAAGACCAAGGGUUCCUGUCCAACGUUAAUCGGGGCAGGGUGAGUCGACCCCUAAGGCGAGGCCGAAAGGCGUAGUCGAUGGGAAACAGGUUAAUAUUCCUGUACUUGGUGUUACUGCGAAGGGGGACGGAGAAGGCUAUGUUGGCCGGGCGACGGUUGUCCCGGUUUAAGCGUGUAGGCUGGUUUUCCGGGCAAAUCCGGAAAAUCAAGGCUGAGGCGUGAUGACGAGGCACUACGGUGCUGAAGCAACAAAUGCCCUGCUUCCGGGAAAAGCCUCUAAGCAUCAGGUAACAUCAAAUCGUACCCCAAACCGACACAGGUGGUCAGGUAGAGAAUACCAAGGCGCUUGAGAGAACUCGGGUGAAGGAACUAGGCAAAAUGGUGCCGUAACUUCGGGAGAAGGCACGCUGAUAUGUAGGUGAGGUCCCUCGCGGAUGGAGCUGAAAUCAGUCGAAGAUACCAGCUGGCUGCAACUGUUUAUUAAAAACACAGCACUGUGCAAACACGAAAGUGGACGUAUACGGUGUGACGCCUGCCCGGUGCCGGAAGGUUAAUUGAUGGGGUUAGCGCAAGCGAAGCUCUUGAUCGAAGCCCCGGUAAACGGCGGCCGUAACUAUAACGGUCCUAAGGUAGCGAAAUUCCUUGUCGGGUAAGUUCCGACCUGCACGAAUGGCGUAAUGAUGGCCGGGCUGUCUCCACCCGAGACUCAGUGAAAUUGAACUCGCUGUGAAGAUGCAGUGUACCCGCGGCAAGACGGAAAGACCCCGUGAACCUUUACUAUAGCUUGACACUGAACAUUGAGCCUUGAUGUGUAGGAUAGGUGGGAGGCUUAGAAGUGUGGACGCCAGUCUGCAUGGAGCCGACCUUGAAAUACCACCCUUUAAUGUUUGAUGUUCUAACGUUGACCCGUAAUCCGGGUUGCGGACAGUGUCUGGUGGGUAGUUUGACUGGGGCGGUCUCCUCCUAAAGAGUAACGGAGGAGCACGAAGGUUGGCUAAUCCUGGUCGGACAUCAGGAGGUUAGUGCAAUGGCAUAAGCCAGCUUGACUGCGAGCGUGACGGCGCGAGCAGGUGCGAAAGCAGGUCAUAGUGAUCCGGUGGUUCUGAAUGGAAGGGCCAUCGCUCAACGGAUAAAAGGUACUCCGGGGAUAACAGGCUGAUACCGCCCAAGAGUUCAUAUCGACGGCGGUGUUUGGCACCUCGAUGUCGGCUCAUCACAUCCUCGGGGCUGAAGUAGGUCCCAAGGGUAUGGCUGUUCGCCAUUUAAAGUGGUACGCGAGCUGGGUUUAGAACGUCGUGAGACAGUUCGGUCCCUAUCUGCCGUGGGCGCUGGAGAACUGAGGGGGCUGCUCCUAGUACGAGAGGACCGGAGUGGACGCAUCACUGGUGUUCGGGUUGUCAUGCCAAUGGCACUGCCCGGUAGCUAAAUGCGGAAGAGAUAAGUGCUGAAAGCAUCUAAGCACGAAACUUGCCCCGAGAUGAGUUCUCCCUGACCCUUUAAGGGUCCUGAAGGAACGUUGAAGACGACGACGUUGAUAGGCCGGGUGUGUAAGCGCAGCGAUGCGUUGAGCUAACCGGUACUAAUGAACCGUGAGGCUUAACCUU
RNAcentral lists this ribosomal RNA (2899 nucleotides) under Escherichia coli. RNAcentral describes it as "23S ribosomal RNA". It matches the Rfam family "Bacterial large subunit ribosomal RNA". The record is from RNAcentral. Lineage: Bacteria; Pseudomonadati; Pseudomonadota; Gammaproteobacteria; Enterobacterales; Enterobacteriaceae.